CACCAUAUAUGCUAGUCGCUUGCUACAGCUCCACCUCAUACCUUUUACCCUUCCUAUAAGCUUGAAUAGUCUUGAUCGCGAGGGUGUGAGAUUGCUGAGUCCCCGUGACUCACAGUUACUUCCAAAACCAGUUUGUAGGUGCCGAUGUUACCAAGCAGAUGAUGCAACGGAGCUCAAGGAGGAGCUCGAUGAAGAUCUUGUCCUUGGUGUUGUUUCGUUCUAGUUGAUCAGUAGUGGAGCCCAGUUGGGGUCGAUCGGGGAUCUGUGUAGCUUUUGGGGUAGUCUUCUUUUAUUUUGGCUCCAUAGUCGGGCCUUGAUUGUAUUUGGUUGAUAUAAUGUUUUAUUCAUGUAAUUGUGUGAAGCGGCGGUUGUAAGCCAACUAUGUAUCUCUUUCCCUUUAUGUAUUACAUGGGUUGUUUGCGAAGAUUACCUCACUUGCGAUGUUGCUUUCAAUGCGGUUAUGCCUCUAAGUCGUGCUUCGACAUGUGAGAGAUAUAGCCGCAUCGAGGGCGUUACAAGUUGGUAAUCAGAGCCUUCCCUGACCUUAGGAGCCCCCUGCUUGAUUGAAUCACUGACGUUAUUGAGUCUAGAAAUGUUUUGAGUCAUUUAGGAUUAUAUAUAUCGGAGAGUUAGGAAUUUGUUUUUACUCCUCAGUCCCUUCAUCGCUCUGGUGAGGCAUCCUGACGCAGAGUUUUGACUCUUCUCUUCUCAAAUUUCAUUAAAAAAAUUUAGGAUCAUGCGGGUAUCUUGGAAUCGUUCCGAUGGAUUUGUGACGAGAACAUUGUUCUGGGUGCCUCCUAUCAUUUAGGGGUUGUGGCAGUGUCCCGGGGAGUUGAGCUCCGAGGUGUUGUCGUCACAAUUUUAUCGUUGCAGUUCUGGAAUACCUGAGUUAGUUUUGCCGACAUAAAAAAUCUCUUUUAUGCAGUUGUUGGUGAGAUAACCUCGACGCCACCCAGUACUGGGGCGGGAGUUCGGGAGUAUUGCCAUAACUCGUAUAAUGGAUGCUUUUCGAAGGUUGAGGUAGAUAAUUUCUGAAGGUUUCUUGGUUAUGUGUUGAAGGAUGGAUACAGCUGGAUGUAGGAUUUGCUAGUUUUGGGUGAGAUAUUAUGCUUCCCCUGUAUCCCCAACACCUGAUUGCAUAACUAGAAAGUUUCAGGAGUUUAUAAGUGGGAAUUCAAGUAGCUCCUAGGAUUUCUUUCCGACAGAUGUAUGAUACGAAAUUGGGGUUCGACGUCUAGUGGUCCGCCUAUCCACGGUUGGUUUUACAGUGGUCUCGUUGUGUCUUAAAGAGUCCUUGGCUAUGCCGGCCCGGGGACGCUUCGUAUGUCAUGUGCACUGCCUUGUACAUGAUGGUGUUGUACGAUCGAGCCCGUGUAGGCCCCACCACAAAAACUUCGGACGAAAUCUCUAUCAUAUGUUUGUUCUGGCUUAUUCUGCAAGCCAAUCCUUUGUUUUGUUUUGAGUUGUGGUAUUCGAGUUGCUUCAGAGACAAAUGUGGAUUCCAUCCCUUUCCUAAGCAGUGUUCUCAUAUUUUUAUGUGAAUACUAAUCCUUCUUGAUCGUCAAGAUUGUUUUGUCAAUCCUUUUUAACCGGCGUGCUUCUCUUCAAGUGGAUCCGAUCACUUCAACAUUCGCAAGAUCAAUUAUCAGUUCUUCUCAACGGUGUUUGUUUCAUCCGUCUCCAAGUUGCCUUUGUUUUUCCCGCCCACCCACCCUUUUUCCUCAAGUACUAAGAUUUCUUUAUCAAGUAUCCUUUUAUUCUUGUGAAGUCUCUCCAUUCUUUUCCGUCAAUGUUCUUACCCGGUGAUUUUCAUGAAGAUCCUAACGGAACCUCAAGUACAUCUUUACCCAUUCUAAUUCUUCUCCAGUGGUUUCAAUUCAAGCUUUCGGUGUUGAUCAUAUUCUUUUCCUAUUUCAAUGUUUUCUCAUGCUGGUGUACCUCAUAAUCAUUCAUUUCUUGCUAUUCAUUUGUUCCGGUGCCCUGAAGAUAUCUCAGAAGGCUUGUCUUGUCAUCCAAGAUCCGUUCAACCUAUUUCGAGGUUAUUAUCCCAUUCAAGCCAUUUAAUUCAACCGGUGCAAUCUCUCCUUCAAAUCAUUCAAUGGUGUAUCUUUUGAGUGGGCCCUAACCCACAGGUCUUUCUCCAGGAUCUUACCUGGCUCUUCUAUUUUUCCCCGGAGCUACCAUCAAAUUCUUUUCGAAGUUUGACGUAAGAAUGAUUUAUCUUCAGUCAAAUGCCUUUCUCCAAGAUCUUUCAAAUUCUUUUCAUCGUUGGUUCAACUUUCCAUUCUUCUUUAUUCUGGAGGAUCUCAACAAUUUGGUGGUGUUUCUCGGCGUAAUUCUUAGAUUCUGAAGACCGAAGAAGAGUUUCUUUUAAAUCUUGCCCCAUUCUCGGCCAUCAUCUCAUAAUUGUUUUUGAUUGUGAGAAUCCUUUUCACCCAUCCGGAGCUAUUCAAGAGUCUUCUCAGUUUGUUUUUCCAGAGUACAUCAUUUCAGGUUUAUUCAUUCCCAUAAUUCAGUUAUCAUUCUCCAAUCUUAAUGGUGCAUCGUUCAAGUGAUCUCUAAUCAGUUAUGAUCCCUUCGUUCUCAUGUAUCUAGAUUGUCUCAAGCAUCUUCGUUCUUUUUAUAAUUCUUCCCGGUGUUUCUUUAUCUUUACUUCGUUCAUUUUCAAUUCUUACCGGUGGCUCGUUCAAGAUUUCUCUUCCUUUGUUAUUGUAUCGAUUCAUUUGUUAUUUCUAUCCUACCGGUGGUUCGUUCAAUAUUUUCCCAAGUUUAUGCUACAUCUCUCUUCAAUCCUUUGCAACGAGAAUAAGUAGUUUGUAAAAUCCGUUGAUGGUCAUCAAUUUAAUUGGUGAAGGAUAAGCAUAAUGUAAUUCUUAUUCUUGUUUCAUCCAAGUGAUUAAUUCCUUAUUCCGGAGGUUCAUCAAAUUCUCGAUUUCAUGCAUCUGAUCUUUCUUUCCCGGAGUCCCAACCUUUACAAUUAUUUCACCACGGAGUUUCAUCUAAAUCAUUACAAGGUUUCACCUUGUGUUUUCAACUUCUCUUUCCUUUCGUUUGAUCAUUCCUUUUGUUUACUGGAGUUCUUUAUGAAGGUUCUACAUGAUGGAUCAUCAAGGAUUUAAUUCCUUCUCGAAGUGUUCAUCGAGAUUCUUUUUAGAGGAUCUCAAGCAUUCUUCAUCUUGCAUUUCGAAGUGCAAUUCUUUCUUCCAUAUCAUUGGAGGUGGUAUUAUGUCAUUCUCGAUAAUUUGAGUUCAUGUUUCAUGAUUCACAUGUUGUCAAGGAUGAGAUAUUUUAAAUCCAUCAAUCUUGUGAUUUUAGUUAUCUUGGGUUAUAUUCCACCUAAAGCCUUCCCUAAGGUUUGUUGCUGUCUAUGGUGCUUAUAAAGGACCCAAGUUCUUCUUUAUCCUCCCGAUGAAAUAUUUUCUCGUCUCCUUGUUCAUACCAAUCCGAUUCUUUUUCCCGUGAGUGGCAGCUUGUCACCUCAUAAUUUCAGAUGUAUUCCAUAAGACCAUAUCAAGCUUAUCCUUUUUCGUUGUUAGUUUUCCAACAACUCCGUCCGAACCUUAUCCUAAGUAUGCCUUUUCAAGCUCUUUUGAGGCAGAAGUUGACAUUUUCUUCUCCAUUCUCCUAUUUCAAUUAUCUAUAUUCUAUUCUUUCGUUCUGGAGGCAUUGCGAUGUUGUUCUUUUCACCCAUCAUCUCGUUUUGACAAAGAUCAUGUUCUUUUCAGGCCUAUCCUUUUAACCGGAGUGUUGUGCCAUUUUGCUCAAGUUAUUUUCGCCUUAUCAAGUCUUGCAUCUCUUUUAACCGGAGUGCCAUACGAAUUUGUUCUUCCUUGUUCCUCUUUCCUAACGGAGUGCUUUCAACUUCGUUCAUAUCCAUUGUAUUCUUUCCUCAAAAUGGCUUAACCUUUUCAAGGUUCUUUGGUUUCACUCGUUUGUCAAAGAAGCAACUUAUUUUUACCUCUUCUCUUUCUCUUCCGUUUUCCCUACGGUGCCAUUCUAGAUCUCGGGACGAGAUCCUCUCAUAGUGGUGGAGUGUUGUGACGCCCCGAGACUGAUGCGCCAGGUGUCUUCCAAUUAUUCGCCGAUGUUGCCAUGUCAUUCACUUGCGUGUUGCAUCUUGCCAUGUCAUCAGGUGCAUUGCAUCAUCAUGUUUUAAAAACUUGCAUUCGUCCGGAUUCUCUGAGUUCUCUCCGUUGUCCGUUCUGAGCCCAACCACACUUGCACACGCCCGCGGCAUGCCCGAAAUAGUAUUUUAUACGUGGCUGGAAAAUGUUCUUGGAUUGGGUUGAAAGUUGACGUGUGGUCUUAUUAUAGUGUAGAUAGACCGCCUGUCAAGUUUCAUCGCAUUCGGAGUUUGUUUGACAGCCCAACCGUUAAACUAUAGCGGCAUUAUAGCCGGUCUAACGUCGGACGUUUUCGGUUUUCGGAAACAGUCGCCAGGUCUCUCUCUUAUCUUCUCUCAGUCCAAGGCUUUCUGCACAGCCCACUGCCUACCGAUAGGCCCAACCUAACCUCUCUUGUCAGCCCGCGGACCUCCCCUCGCACGCGUCCGAAAGUUGUCUCGAACCCGACCCGGACAAUCGUUACCGUUGUGUCCGGAUCAUCCCCAAACAUCUACAAAACAUCUCCGUUUUCUUAUUUGGGCUCAUUAGCCUAUUUUUCCCGACCGUCCAAUUACGAUCGAAGGGAUGGAUUAGCCCCUACCCAAAUCCACUUGGUAUUUAUAACCAGACCAAACCCUAUAAUCUAGGAUUAUGUCCCAUCCAUCCCAUCCCCACGCCGCCGCCACUUCUCUUGUUCUCAGCGCCGAACCAACCAACCAACCAGCCUCCAUCUUGCCCGAUCCAAACCCAAUCCCCAUCGAUCCAAAAAUCCUCUCGUCCUCCAUCCAGCGCCUCAUCGCCCCUCCCGUGCCUUGAUCGAGGAUGGAUCGAGAGCAGCGCCGUCAGGCCCCGAGCAACACCGCGCCAUGGCCCCUGCCAUCAAGCCGCAGCUCCUGCCCACGGAGCCCCUCGUCCCCGUGCCCCUAUUUCGCUCGGACCCCGCGACCAUGAGGAGGCUGUGCGAGCGGCGCUGCUGCACCUCGUCACCAUCACCUGCCCGCCGGAGUCCCCUGUCUGCCGUCUCUCUUUGCUUUCCUUCCCCUGAACCUUCUCUGAACCUCUCUCUCUCUCUCUUUUCUUUAGUCAACAGCAGCAGUCGCUGCAUUCUCUCGCCGGUGAGCCCAGGGGAUGUGUCGCGCGCCCCUGCCUCCUUCCCCAUGCCCGGAUCCGCCGACGCGUCGUCCCGGAACCCCACGUCCAAGUCCCGCACCCCCACGACCUCGCUGCAGCUCAGUGCCGCCGCAAGUCCACAUCAUUGACGGCCUCAGCUUCCCCUACAACAGAACGAGCGCCUACCUGCGUUGACCGACCAGUCUUAGCUCGUCCAUGGCCGCGCUACGCCAUGGCCUUGUAGCUCCCUUCCAUCGCGGCCGGCCCCUUUCGCCUCCACGUCGUCCCCGUCGCCAUGUCCGACCGCGGGAGUCGCCGCUGCAUCCCCUGCUUCACGACGAGGCGUGCCCCUCGUUGACUUGAUCCAGCGCCCGAGUGGGCCGGCCUGCCAGCGCCCGAGGCCCAGAUGCGCCCCUGCCGGCCUGCCACUGUUACACCGACCGGGCCUCGGCCCAGGGUGAGCAGCCCCCCCAGCACCCUCUGUUAUUUUUUUCCCGCCGAUUGGGCCAACCUGUUUCAGCCAUUGUAUUUUCUUAUGCGCUGCGAAUUUUGCCAUUUAACCAGAGACUGCCUGUUUUACAGAAGACCCCUCAUAGUUCAUGCAUAUAAUAACUUAAUAACUAAGCAUCACAUGUAAAAACUUAAUAUAUGAAACUUGCUUAGAAUUUUGUCUAGUUUCAUAAUUUGCCAUUUUCAUCUAUGUUUAAAAUGCGGUUUGAUGAAAUUUGCCUCUAUGCCAUGUUAAAAUGCUUUAAUUCAUAACUAAAUAACCGUAGCUCGGAUUUAAAUAAUCUUUAUAUGUAAAUGGGGUAGCAAAAUGCCUAGUUUAACAUGUUGGCAUCACUUUGCAUGUUUAACAACUAUAAAAUAUGGUUUAGGGCAGAACAGUACCAAACCUAAUAUAUGCAUAUGAGGAUUUUCCGAAAUUGCUGUUCGUUGUCUCCGGCCUCAUUUAAACUUGCCUAGAUAGGUAGUUUUCAUUUGCUUCACCCUCUUGCCAUGUUUAACAACAUUAAAUAUUGUUGGGUACAUAAACAAGAUCAAACUAAAUAAGUCAUGUGGGGUUUUGUCAAUAUGCAACGGAGUUGCAUGUUGAGCUCCACUUAAUUUGUACGAUUGUUUGUGCAUUUUUCCAUGCCAUGCCUCAUUAAACCGGACAUGCAUCAUAGUUGUUUGCGCAUUGUGCCAUGCUUAUGUGAUGGUUGUUUACUAUGUUGUUUGCUCCUUUCAGGUGUUGCUUCUUCGGGUAGGUUCCGGUAACGUUGCGUUUGUGAGGAUCCGUUGACUACGUCCGUUUGUCUUCUUCGUGGACUCGUUUUCUUCCUUGCAGGAUUUCAGGCAAGAUGACCAUACCCUUGAAAUCACUUCUAUCUUUGCUUGCUAGAUGCUCGCUCUUUUGCUAUGCCUAUGCUACGAUACCUACCACUUGCUUAUCAUGCCUCCCAUAUUGCCAUGUCAAACCUCUAACCCACCUUGUCCUAGCAAACCGUUGUUUGGCUAUGUUACCACUUUGCUCAGCCCUUCUUAUAGCAUUGAUAGUUGUAGGUGAAGAUUGGAGUUUGUUCCGUGUUGGAACAUGGACAUUUUGUUGGGAUAUCACAAUAUCACUUAUUUAAUUAAUGCAUCUAUAUACUUGGUAAAGGGUGGAAGGCUCGGCCUUAUGCCUGGUGUUUUGUUCCACUCUUGCCGCCCUAGUUUCCGUCAUAUCGGUGUUAUGUUCCUGGAUUUUGCGUUCCUUACGCGGUUGGGUUAUAAUGGGAACCCCUUGACAGUUCGCUUUGAAUAAAACUCCUCCAGCAAGGCCCAACCUUGGUUUUACCAUUCGCCACCUAGCCUCUUUUUCCCUUGGGUUAGGCCAGCCCAAGGGUCAUCUUUAUUUUAACCCCCCCCGGGCCAGUGCUUGUCUAAGUGUUGGUCUGAAAUGGGCAGCCUGCGGGGCCACCUCGGGGAAACUUGAGGGCUGGUUUUACUCGUAGCUUGACCUAUCCGGUAUUGCCCUGAGAAUGAGAUAUGUGCAGCUCCCAUUAGGAUGUCGGCGCAUCGGGCAGCUUUGCUGGAUUUGUUUUACCAUUUGUUUUACCUCUUGAUCAUAGUUUCUCGGUCGUGCUUUUCCUUCUCUUCUCGCUCUCUUUUGCGUAUGUUAGCCACCAUAUAUGCUAGUCGCUUGCUGCAGCUCCACCUCAUACCUUUUACCCUUCCUAUAAGCUUGAAUAGUCUUGAUCGCGAGGGUGUGAGAUUGCUGAGUCCCCGUGACUCACAGUUACUUCCAAAACCAGUUUGCAGGUGCAGAUGUUACCGAGCAGAUGACGCAACAGAGCUCAAGGAGGAGCUCGAUGAAGAUUUUGUCCUUGGUGUUGUUUUGUUCUAGUUGAUCAGUAGUGGAGCCCAGUUGGUGUCGAUCGGGGAUCUGUGUAGCUUUUAGGGUAGUCUUCUUUUAUUUUGGCUCCAUAGUCGGGCCUUGAUUGUAUUUGGUUGAUGUAAUGUUUUAUUCAUGUAAUUGUGUGAAGUGGC
Molecule: long non-coding RNA, 7724 nt
Filed under: Triticum aestivum (bread wheat)
Lineage: Eukaryota; Viridiplantae; Streptophyta; Magnoliopsida; Poales; Poaceae
Description: long non-coding RNA (TAES_LNC020563)
Source: RNAcentral